RNAcentral lists this long non-coding RNA (2220 nucleotides) under Setaria italica (foxtail millet). RNAcentral's name for it is "long non-coding RNA (SITA_LNC004714)". Lineage: Eukaryota; Viridiplantae; Streptophyta; Magnoliopsida; Poales; Poaceae. The record is from RNAcentral.
UCUGAAGCUAUUGUUUGUGGCAUCAAAUAUCCUAAGGCCUUCGAUCUUGCUCAAGGUUUCGGGAAGACUGCCGCUCAGUUGAUUAUUGAGUAGAUAGAGGACCUCCAACUUGGUGCAGUUACCAAUCGAAGUGGGUAAAACCCCAGAUAACAUAUUAUCAUGCAACCACAAGGACGUAAGGCUUGUCAUUUCACCAACCGAGAAGGGGAUCGAACCACUGAGCUGAUUGGAAUGGAGGUACACUUGCUCCAGAAACUGAUUGAGAAGCACAAUACAGGCACACAGCCAUGCAUACGUGACACCAACACGCUAGGCAGUGGUAAUAACUCUAAAAAGGAAAGUAGCUGUGACAUCAGUCUUAAUGGGAUUUCAUCAUAGGGAGUUUCAUCGACAUUACAUUCUAACUAUCUUGGAAAAAACGGAAUGUGCUUCACAUUACGGAUUCAGUAGACACUGUCUUGUCCAGUUGUUCCUAUCUUCGUUUGCUAAAAUGACUUUCAUUAAUUUUCUUUGCUGCUAACCUUGAAAAGCAUACACAACCUCCUGCUUUUACACCCGGAUUCGUACUGUCAACGAGCAACUGGUUGGAACUGGGACAAAAACAAGGUGCUCCCAAUUCCAGAACCUUUUACGAUAUGCCAUGUUGCUUCGACCGUGCACACCUCGUUACGUUUAACCAGUCUUUUGGUAUGCAUGUGCUACUAUGCUCACCGACGAGUUUCUCCUUCCAAAACUACACUGGUUUUUUGUCUAAAACUUCAAUCGUCACUGGUUUUGUCUAAAACUCCCUAUACGAUGUGUGUAACAACGGCAUAACUGUAAAUAUCAAAGGCUAUAUGCUUCUGCAGAAGCAAAGGCGAGACACUUGUUUUAUUUUCUUUUGAACGGAAGACACUUGUUUUAUUCUAUCAAUCAAAGAUCACAUUAACUGUAAAUCACCCUAUCUUUCGUGAGUUACAACUUACAACGAACACAGUAAGCAUUUUUUGGCGGAAUUUUGCUGGAAAAGUUGUUGUAACUAAGAUCUAAAACACCUAGGUUUGUACAAUUACUGAAUCCUGGAAUGGAUCCAUUCAGGUUGUUAGCUUGGGGACUGAUUUGCAGCGAACAAGGGCAGUUUGAAAAUAUAUUUGGUGGGACCGGACCGUCGAAACCAUUGCGGCUAAGAUCUAUGUAACUUAAUCCCUUGCAAUUUCUGAAUUCAGGAAUAUGCCCGCUGAAAUUGUUGCCCUGAAGAAUGAAUCUCUCCAAACUUGGGCAGUUCGAAACCCCGGAUGGGAUGCUACCAGUGAGAUGAUUAGAGCCCAAGUCCAGAAUUCUCAAUGUUUUCCCUGAACAAAUGUUUGGCGGAAUCCCACCAACAAAACUGUUGUUGGUGAAAUCAACCUUGACUAAACGGCUGUUAGCACCCAGUCCCGGUGGUAUGGCUCCGGUGAAGAAAUUAUCAAACAGUGUAAUGUUCUGCAGGAACUUAAGCUCAGCAAGCACAGAAGGUAGCUUCCCAGUAAGACCAUUUCGAUAGACGAGGACACUUUGAAGGCUUUGGAUGCCCCAUAUAUUUUCAGGAAACUCCCCUGUGAGAUGAUUUUCAAAAAGGAACAGCUUCUGCAAGUUCCUCAAGUUUGCUAGUUCUUUUGGAACAGUGCCCUCAAGCUGGUUUGCAUCCAACUCCAGCCACAAAAGCAAUUCACAGUUGCCAAUUUCAGUAGGGAUUGGACCAGACAAAUUGUUUUGAGAAAGUAGAAGAUAAGUGAGGUUUCUCAGUAAACCAACUGUAGGUGGUAUCUGUCCGGACAGACUGUUGUUGACAAAUGCAAGCUGCGUCAAGCUGCUGCAGUUCCCUAACCAUUUUGGUAUCUCCCCUCUGAUUUGAUUGAAUGACAGGAUGAAUAUUUCCAACUUGCAGCUAUUCUCAAAACUGAAAGGAAUCUCGCCUCUGAAGCUAUUGUUUGUGGCAUCAAAUAUCCUGAGGCCUUCGAUCUUGCUCAAGGUUUCAGGAAGACUGCCGCUCAGUUGAUUAUUGAGUAGAUAGAGGACCUCCAACUUGGUGCAGUUACCAAUCGAAGCGGGUAAAACCCCAGAUAACAUAUUAUCAUGCAACCACAAGGACGUAAGGCUUGUCAUUUCACCAACCGAGAAGGGGAUCGAACCACUGAGCUGAUUGGAAUGGAGGUACACUUGCUCCAGAAACUGGUUCUUGAACAACUCCUCUGGUAUAGU